CAAAUGAUUAAUAUUAAACCAAACAUUGUUCAUUUAACAGAUAACUGAAAAACGUAUUAUUGGUUAAAGGCUCUGUUUGGGAGCAGUGUUUUAGAACAGAACAUGUAAUAAAAUGGGAGGAAACCCAAGUGGCAUCAUAGAGCAUUAGGCUGAGGCUGAGGCUGGUAACAACUGCAGUCAGUCAGCUAGGCAAGGCUGUUAGAAUUUACAAAGAGAUGAGAACAGAAGGGAACGAUGCACAAAGUUUGCCCAGUAGUUUUGAAUGUGGAAGGGGUAAUCUAAGACCCGAAACAUUUCAUGGAAUGUGCCAGUUUCAGAUGAGGGAAAAUUUAAACCUUCAUUACCCAAGACUAUAGAUAAGGAAUCACAAGCAAAUAAACACUGAGGCUACAGUCCAGGAGAAGAGCUAAAAUGAGGAACUCAUCCUGUAAUGCAACAGGACAUAGUUUGCAAGGCCAGCUACAAUUGCUCACAUCCAAGGUAGGCCAGAUAAAUACCUGUAGUAAUUACUCAGCAAGGACAAACUUGCAUGGAAUGGGGAGAAGAUAACUCUGGCAGCAGUUUUGGACAAGUAAGAUAUGGGCCACCAAGGCAUUAAUAAGACUAUUAAUCAAGACUAAUUGUUUGCAGAGUGUAAAUCACUCCUCCCACAAAUAAAUAUAACGAUGCUAAGAAUUGUAAAAUUCAUCUAAUAAUUAAAAGAGUAGCUCAGAACAAGGUUCCAACAGUACUGUAAAUUGAUUAACUGAGAUAGAUCACAGUUUUAAGAUUUUGAAAAUGAGAAUUAGAAGGGAGAACCAAGCUGAAUGGUCUGGAGCCUCUAAAAUGAAACCUUUGAAGAAAACUAAAUUCAGGGUCUAUUUCACACCUCAAGAAUUUGUGAAAUAGAAGCACAUAGCUAGACUUGGGUCUUCUGUAGGAAAAAAAAUUUAGAAUUCUUUUCUCCCUUCCCUUAAUAUUGUGUGGUUGAGUAAAUUACAUGUAUUCCUGUCACUUAUUGGGAAACUAAGGCCCAGAAGUUCUUCUUUGCUAAACAGUGUUUGUUUGUUUGUUUUUAUUCUGGGACAAAACUUUGCUAUAUUGCUACAUUAGUAUCAUUUUAAAAUGUUC
RNAcentral lists this long non-coding RNA (1110 nucleotides) under Cairina moschata (Muscovy duck). Its description in RNAcentral is "domestica (muscovy Duck (domestic type)) lncRNA (ENSCMMG00000011501.1)". Lineage: Eukaryota; Metazoa; Chordata; Aves; Anseriformes; Anatidae. The record is from RNAcentral.